CUUGUAAUUUCUUGGUGUUUUGAGACUGAAGACAUCAUUUUGGAAAUAAUUACCAAGUAAACUGAAAAAGGUCCUUAUUUUGUGAUUUGACUUUUGGCAACCUAUUGGGCAUUGAUGCUUUGCCCGUUUGCUUAAUGCAAAUAUGUUUGUUUUGUUGGCUGUAUGGCAGUGUGAUAUUUCUAAUACAACCAGUUUUAAUAACUUGG
RNAcentral lists this unclassified non-coding RNA (206 nucleotides) under Hevea brasiliensis (rubber tree). Lineage: Eukaryota; Viridiplantae; Streptophyta; Magnoliopsida; Malpighiales; Euphorbiaceae. The record is from RNAcentral.